ACGCAGGCGCACUAAGAGAGAAAAACAACAAGAAAACGGAUAUGACAAUUAUAGGAAAUCCCCUCCCUAGAGUUAAGGAGGAGUAGAAAGUGGGCAUAAAAGAACAAAGGCUAUUUUAAUCCAGGGCUGAUACCACUUGAAAAUCAGCCCGUUCCUCUCUCUAGAACAUUCUUUGCUUAAUAAAUUUUGUGGAGUGGUUAUUUGUGAGUCUCAUCCAAUUCUUUGUUCACAGCACCAAGAACCUGGAACUCCCAACUUCCAAUCUGGUAACAUAUUUUGGUGAGCCAGCCAGUAGGCUUUCCAACCUGCAAUACCUAAAGCUCCAGACCUAGAACCUGAAGCUCCCAUCAAUCGCUACCCUGGGAACCUGUGGAGGAUCCGAAGUACCUGUUUAAAGGGCAUCCAAAAGAGUCUACCAAGCUACAAAUGGCUGUAUUGCCUGAAGCCCCAUAUAUCAUCAUACAAGAAAUAAGUCCAGACUUCAUAAUUUCCCCCUGGAUAGAGCAGGAUGAGAGUUCUGUGGUCCCCCGUUAGGUAGGGUCAACAGUCCUACUCAGCCAGAAGCAGCUAUAGAAGAAAGAACUUCGACCCUCAGCAAGCUAUAGAGAUUUAUGGGGAUCACAUCUCUCAGAGGGAACUGAGGCAGGAGAAUAGGGAAGGAAGUCAGAAAAUCAACCAGCAGCCCGUUCUCAGCAAAACAAGCAUAAGGCACCAUCUGAUAAGGAAGCUGAAGCAAUGAACCAGUGCUUUCUGCAGUAAACAAAUCUGGUAUAAACUGGAACAGGAGAGUCACUGAAAGAAGAGCAUGCGCUUUAGGGGCAAAAUGUGUCCUCAGGAUAACCUUUUAUUAUAAUAAGUUACUUAAAGCCCAUACAUAUGGAAUGCAUAUCAUACAUAUGCUUAAAAUUAUGGAAUGGCAAGCACACACAGGCACACUGAGAGAGAAAAACAACAAGAAAACUGAUAUGUCAAUUAUAGGCAACCUCCUCCCUAAAAGUUAAGCAAGAGUAGUAAGGGGGUAUAAAAGAACAAAGGCUGUGUUAACCCAGGGCUGAUACCACUCGCAGAUCAGCCUGUUCCUCUCUCUGGAACAUUCUUUGCUGAAUAAAUCUUGUGGUGUCAUUA
This is a long non-coding RNA of Cercocebus atys (sooty mangabey), 1125 nucleotides long. RefSeq lists it as uncharacterized. NCBI's taxonomy places the organism in Eukaryota, Metazoa, Chordata, Mammalia, Primates, Cercopithecidae. The transcript is spliced from 3 exons. The record is from RefSeq and is a predicted model, not a curated record.